This is a long non-coding RNA of Uranotaenia lowii, 1311 nucleotides long. RefSeq lists it as uncharacterized. Lineage: Eukaryota; Metazoa; Arthropoda; Insecta; Diptera; Culicidae. The record is from RefSeq and is a predicted model, not a curated record. The transcript is spliced from 5 exons.
CGUCAUUCAUUGAUGGGGAUAGUUUUGGUUUCUCUGUGCGGCAUGUGUGAAAGAAAACUAGAGGUCUUCACACGCCGGGGAAUGCUCGUUGGGUCCGAGUGAGCCGGAAUCGCUACUAGAGGAGCCAGAGUUCAGAUGUUCCGGAUCCGGCUCGAAUGUGAUGGCUCGCUCAAAAGAGGAUGCGAUGUGUGGGUGGCUCGCUUCCCGUGCUCAAGAAACGGGAUUACACCGAGUCUAUGUGAUCGGUUCACGAUGUCCUGAAUCGCUAAACCGGGUGAUGAUUCUUUCGAGGGUGUAGAUUGCUCGGCUCUCGCUUCAAGGACGUGAUAGGGUGCACUCGACGAAGAAGCGGAACGGAACGCGGCAACCGCAAGGCAAACUAAUCGUGAUGGAGAUGGUGUCUCGACCGGAUGGAAAAAAUGGUCUCGCUUUUGGAACACUUUAAAGACCAUGUUAGCAUUAAUAGCAGCCGUGAGAUGGUAGACGAUUUGCUGGGAUUGGCCGACCUGCUAGCGACGAAUGGCUAGAUACCGGAUAAAGUGCUGGUAACGCAGGACCCUACCUACACUUGCGCGGAGCGCUUUUCUGGCUGGUAAAAAGCUUCUCCCGACCAAUCAAAACAAUCACUGGAUUGUAUUGCAAAUUGUGGGAGUAUUUUCUACAUUCGGCAAUAGAGAACAGUUUCGAUUUGCCACUUAGCUACCAGUUAGCGUGUCAAGCGUGGAUAACCAGCAGUGCACUAUCCAAAAUGUUUAUUCAACUGUUGGCAGGAUAACGACCGUGGAAUGGUCUGUACCGAGGUCUGGCGAAAGGACGCUGUGCUUCUUCGGAAUUGUCCUUCUUUCAGGAUCUCAAUCAGGAUGCACACGCGCCACAUAGUGUGAAUAAUUUCACCAGAACCCAAAAAGAAUCAUUUUCCACUAGGACGGACUAAGCUGGAUAUUUCGAUCCAUAAAAUCAACAAACGGCUGGAAAAAAACAACGGCCAACUAUCCUCGCCUGCAAGCUGUGGAUCCAAUCCAGGUCGUCCUGGCCCAGAACAGAGGGUGAUGGAAGCUCGACCUCCGUGUUGGUGUUUGCCUCGGUGAUAGCCUGCGAUGGAUUUUGGACAACGAUUUCUUGUGAUUCGAUACCCGGUGGAUCGUAGACAGAUUGCACGAGUUGGACUAAUUCAACCAACACAUUUUGCAUCUGUGUUAGAAGAUUAGGGGAACCUCGUGACGAACACAGAAGGGUAGCCACUCGUGUACCCACAUGGGCUAGACGGGCUAAGCAAAUUCUUUUCUGUGAUUCGUCUGAAAUGUUAGAUUC